CUGCAACCCGACUACAUGAAGCCGGAAUCGCUAGUAAUCGCGGAUCAGAAUGCCGCGGUGAAUACGUUCCCGGGUCUUGUACACACCGCCCGUCACACCAUGGGAGUCGGAAAUGCCCGAAGUCUGUGACCCAACCGCAAGGAGGGAGCAGCCGAAGGCAGGUCGGAUGACUGGGGUGAAGUCGUAACAAGGUACC
RNAcentral lists this ribosomal RNA (196 nucleotides) under uncultured bacterium. RNAcentral describes it as "partial 16S ribosomal RNA". It matches the Rfam family "Bacterial small subunit ribosomal RNA", at positions 1305 to 1500 of the family's 1533-position model. The record is from RNAcentral.